GACCAGUCCGAGUGCAUUAGUGAUUGUAAUUGGUUGAUCACCACCAGUUACAGAUAUCUUUGUUCCUUCUUCACUCUCACUACUUCAUUUGAUUAGUCUUAA
Chlorocebus sabaeus (green monkey) is the source of this 102-nucleotide unclassified non-coding RNA. It matches the Rfam family "Y RNA". Rfam says of the family: Y RNAs are components of the Ro ribonucleoprotein particle (Ro RNP), in association with Ro60 and La proteins. The Y RNAs and Ro60 and La proteins are well conserved, but the function of the Ro RNP is not known. The record is from Ensembl. NCBI's taxonomy places the organism in Eukaryota, Metazoa, Chordata, Mammalia, Primates, Cercopithecidae.